Molecule: non-coding RNA, 786 nt
Filed under: Pongo abelii (Sumatran orangutan)
Lineage: Eukaryota; Metazoa; Chordata; Mammalia; Primates; Hominidae
Source: RNAcentral
CACGAUGUGGUGAACUUUUAGAAACGGAUUCAGUAGUACCAAAAUACUCAUAAUGUGCAGACAGACAAAAGAACUGGAGGGAGUCGUGUUUUCAGACACAGGAAGCUUCUCACGUGCUCAGCCUGGACCUCAUCUCUCAGCCUCACACUCAGAUUUUCGGCAGCCCCCGCUAUGCACCCGAGUCUUCAGACGUCAUCCCAGAGCUCCUAGCUUGCCCGGGAGGCACAGCCAUCAGCUGGCUAUCUUUGAAAUUCUCCUCUUGGCCACUUAUCCCAACUAAACACAUCACCACUGAGGACCUGUCCAGGGGUUUAGCUCCUGAUGAAGAGACAGAGAAAAGGUCAGAGAAAGGAAAGGUGACGCUCCAUCCAAGAUGACUACAGCGCUAUGAUUUGCAGAUGGGGAAGGUCACGGGAUGCUAGACGCAACAGAAUCUCAACAGGGACCCGAGAGAGAGAGAGGCUCCUCUCUCCCUACGCUAAUAUCCUAUGAUCCCUGUGUCACUUUCCAGAAAACACUGUCAGUCCCAUGGACCUAGGAUUAUAAAAUCCUAUAAGAUUUAUACAGAAAAUACAAAAAUUUGGGGAGGGGGAAUUGUGAAACAAUGUGAAAAAACUAUUUGUCAAAUGGACAGUGGGGAAUAACUUCUCCUCCCGCACCUCCUCCAAGCUUCUAACAACACUCAUGGCACACAAUACAGGGGAUACUGCCAUAAAAAUGACUUAAAAUGUGCCCUUUUGAGGUAAAGUAACUAUGGGACAAGUGACUAUAAAAAUGACACAGCUG